This 395-nucleotide ribosomal RNA is filed under the name uncultured bacterium. RNAcentral describes it as "bacterial SSU rRNA". It matches the Rfam family "Bacterial small subunit ribosomal RNA", at positions 29 to 420 of the family's 1533-position model. The record is from RNAcentral.
AGUGAACGCUGGCGGCAGGCCUAACACAUGCAAGUCGAACGGCAGCACAGAGGAGCUUGCUCCUUGGUGGCGAGUGGCGGACGGGUGAGGAAUACAUCGGAAUCUGCCCAGUCGUGGGGGAUAACAUAGGGAAACUUAUGCUAAUACCGCAUACGACCUACGGGUGAAAGCGGGGGAUCGCAAGACCUCGCGCGAUUGGAUGAGCCGAUGUCCGAUUAGCUAGUUGGCGGGGUAAUGGCCCACCAAGGCGACGAUCGGUAGCUGGUCUGAGAGGAUGAUCAGCCACACUGGAACUGAGACACGGUCCAGGCUCCUACGGGAGGCAGCAGUGGGGAAUAUUGGACAAUGGGCGCAAGCCUGAUCCAGCCAUGCCGCGUGGGUGAAGAAGGCCUCGG